Molecule: long non-coding RNA, 961 nt
Organism: Oncorhynchus keta (chum salmon)
Lineage: Eukaryota; Metazoa; Chordata; Actinopteri; Salmoniformes; Salmonidae
Exons: 3
Source: RefSeq, a predicted model, not a curated record
AUCCCAUUGAGCACGUCUGGGACCUGUUGGAUCAGAGGGUGAGGACUAGGGCCAUUCCCCCCAGAAAUGUCCGGGGAACUUGCAGGUGCCUUGGUGGAAGAGUGUGGUAACAUCUCACAGCAAGAACUGGCACAUCUGGUGCAGGCCAUGUGGAAUUGAUGCACUGCAGCACUUAAUGCAGCUGGUGGCCACACCAGAUACUGACUGUUACUUUUGAUUUUGACCCCCCCUUUGUUCAGGGAGUGGCCUCUACAAUCUGGACAUCACUGAGCCUAAAUACUUCCUCCAGGGAUUAAUGAGAAAGGGAGGAACAGAGCCUUAUUCUAAAGCAGCAAGGUGUUAGACUGUAUCAACUGGGGGGAGAGAUGGGAUGGGAAACGAGAGCCUUAUUCUAAAGCUGCAAGGUGUUAGACUUUAUCAACUGGGGAGAGAUGGGAUGGGAAACGAGAGCCUUAUUCUAAAGCUGCAAGGUGUUAGACUUUAUCAACUGGGGGAGAGAUGGGAUGGGAAACGAGAGCCUUAUUCUAAAGCAGCAAGGUGUUAGACUUUAUCAACUGGGGAGAGAGAUGGGAUGGGAAACGAGAGCCUUAUUCUAAAGCUGCAAGGUGUUAGACUUUAUCAACUGGGGAGAGAGAUGGGAUGGGAAACGAGAGCCUUAUUCUAAAGCAGCAAGGUGUUAGACUUUAUCAACUGGGGAGAGAGAUGGGAUGGGAAACGAGAGCCUUAUUCUAAAGCAGCAAGGUGUUAGACUUUAUCAACUGGGGGAGAGAUGGGAUGGGAAACGAGAGCCUUAUUCUAAAGCAGCAAGGUGUUAGACUUUAUCAACUGGGGAGAGAGAUGGGAUGGGAAACGAGAGCCUUAUUCUAAAGCAGCAAGGUGUUAGACUUUAUCAACUGGGGAGAGAUGGGAUGGGAAACGAGAGCCUUAUUCUAAAGCAGCAAGGUGUUAGACUUUAUCAACU